This 326-nucleotide ribosomal RNA is filed under the name uncultured eukaryote. RNAcentral describes it as "partial 18S ribosomal RNA". It matches the Rfam family "Eukaryotic small subunit ribosomal RNA", at positions 1470 to 1796 of the family's 1831-position model. The record is from RNAcentral.
CCCUUAGAUGUCCUGGGCCGCACGCGCGCUACACUGAACGGAUCAGCGCGUUUUCCCUUCCCGAGAGGGACGGGUAACCUGCUGAACCCCGUUCGUGGUAGGGAUCGGGGCUUGCAAUUACUCCCCGUGAACCAGGAAUGCCCAGUAAGUGCAAGUCAUAAGCUUGCGUUGAUUACGUCCCUGCCCUUUGUACACACCGCCCGUCGCUACUACCGAUUGAACGUUUUAGUGAGGUACUCGGACUGAGCCUCAGAAGAUUCACGUCUUUUGUGCUGCUCGGGAAGAUUCCCAAACUUGAGCGUUUAGAGGAAGUAAAAGUCGUAACA